UUGCUUCCGCUGACGACCGGUGCACGGGUGCGUAACGCGUAUGCAACCUACCUCAUACUGGAGAAUAGCCCUUGGAAACGAGGAUUAAUGCUCCAUAGUAUCACAGAUUCGCAUGUUUCUGUGAUUAAAGAAUUUCGGUAUGAGAUGGGCAUGCGUCCCAUUAGCUUGUUGGUGAGGUAACGGCUCACCAAGGCAACGAUGGGUAGGGGGCCUGAGAGGGUGACCCCCCACACUGGUACUGAGACACGGACCAGACUCCUACGGGAGGCAGCAGUGAGGAAUAUUGGGCAAUGGAGGCAACUCUGACCCAGCCAUGCCGCGUGAAGGAUGACUGCCCUAUGGGUUGUAAACUUCUUUUAUAUGGGAAGAAACUUAUCUACGUGUAGAUAACUGACGGUACCAUACGAAUAAGGAUCGGCUAACUCCGUGCCAGCAGCCGCGG
This 442-nucleotide ribosomal RNA is filed under the name uncultured Bacteroidota bacterium. Its description in RNAcentral is "bacterial SSU rRNA". It matches the Rfam family "Bacterial small subunit ribosomal RNA", at positions 79 to 520 of the family's 1533-position model. Lineage: Bacteria; Pseudomonadati; Bacteroidota. The record is from RNAcentral.